Molecule: ribosomal RNA, 1203 nt
Filed under: Chryseobacterium aquaticum
Lineage: Bacteria; Pseudomonadati; Bacteroidota; Flavobacteriia; Flavobacteriales; Weeksellaceae
Description: bacterial SSU rRNA
Rfam family: Bacterial small subunit ribosomal RNA
Source: RNAcentral
CGGAAUCUUGAGAGCGGCGCACGGGUGCGGAACACGUGUGCAACCUGCCUUUAUCUGGGGGAUAGCCUUUCGAAAGGAAGAUUAAUACCCCAUAAUAUAUUGAGUGGCAUCACUUGAUAUUGAAAACUCCGGUGGAUAGAGAUGGGCACGCGCAAGAUUAGAUAGUUGGUGAGGUAACGGCUCACCAAGUCAAUGAUCUUUAGGGGGCCUGAGAGGGUGAUCCCCCACACUGGUACUGAGACACGGACCAGAUUCCUACGGGAGGCAGCAGUGAGGAAUAUUGGACAAUGGGUGAGAGCCUGAUCCAGCCAUCCCGCGUGAAGGACGACUGCCCUAUGGGUUGUAAACUUCUUUUAUACUGGGAUAAACCUACCCUUCGUGAGGGUAGCUGAAGGUACAGUAUGAAUAAGCACCGGCUAACUCCGUGCCAGCAGCCGCGGUAAUACGGAGGGUGCAAGCGUUAUCCGGAUUUAUUGGGUUUAAAGGGUCCGUAGGCGGACUCGUAAGUCAGUGGUGAAAUCUCAUAGCUUAACUAUGAAACUGCCAUUGAUACUGCGGGUCUUGAGUAAAGUAGAAGUGGCUGGAAUAAGUAGUGUAGCGGUGAAAUGCAUAGAUAUUACUUAGAACACCAAUUGCGAAGGCAGGUCACUAUGUUUUAACUGACGCUGAUGGACGAAAGCGUGGGGAGCGAACAGGAUUAGAUACCCUGGUAGUCCACGCCGUAAACGAUGCUAACUCGUUUUUGGGUUUUCGGAUUCAGAGACUAAGCGAAAGUGAUAAGUUAGCCACCUGGGGAGUACGUUCGCAAGAAUGAAACUCAAAGGAAUUGACGGGGGCCCGCACAAGCGGUGGAUUAUGUGGUUUAAUUCGAUGAUACGCGAGGAACCUUACCAAGGCUUAAAUGGGAAUUGACAGGUUUAGAAAUAGAUCCUUCUUCGGACAAUUUUCAAGGUGCUGCAUGGUUGUCGUCAGCUCGUGCCGUGAGGUGUUAGGUUAAGUCCUGCAACGAGCGCAACCCCUGUCACUAGUUGCCAUCAUUCAGUUGGGGACUCUAGUGAGACUGCCUACGCAAGUAGAGAGGAAGGUGGGGAUGACGUCAAAUCAUCACGGCCCUUACGCCUUGGGCCACACACGUAAUACAAUGGCCGGUACAGAGGGCAGCUACUAUGCGAAUAGAUGCGAAUCUCGAAAGCCGGUCUCAGU